ACUCCUACGGGAGGCAGCAGUAAGGAAUAUUGGACAAUGGGCGAAAGCCUGAUCCAGCCAUCCCGCGUGCAGGAUGACGGCCCUAUGGGUUGUAAACUGCUUUUGUUUGAGAAGAAACGCCUGGAUUUAUCCGGGCCUGACGGUAUCUUACGAAUAAGCACCGGCUAACUCCGUGCCAGCAGCCGCGGUAAUACGGAGGGUGCAAGCGUUAUCCGGAAUCACUGGGUUUAAAGGGUGAGCAGGCGGAUAAAUAAGUCAGAGGUGAAAUCUUGCAGCUUAACUGUAAAACUGCCUUUGAUACUGUUUAUCUUGAAUUAGGUUGAGGUCAGCGGAAUGUGACAUGUAGCGGUGAAAUGCGGAGAUAUGUCAUAGAACACCAAUUGCGAAGGCAGCUGACUGGGCCUUAAUUGACGCUGAGUCACGAAAGCGUGGGAGCGAACAGGAUUAGAUA
RNAcentral lists this ribosomal RNA (451 nucleotides) under uncultured bacterium. Its description in RNAcentral is "bacterial SSU rRNA". It matches the Rfam family "Bacterial small subunit ribosomal RNA", at positions 335 to 784 of the family's 1533-position model. The record is from RNAcentral.